UAGUCCACGCCGUAAACGAUGAUUACUCGUUGUUGGCGAUACACAGUCAGCGACUGAGCGAAAGCAUUAAGUAAUCCACCUGGGGAGUACGUCGGCAACGAUGAAACUCAAAGGAAUUGACGGGGGCCCGCACAAGCGGAGGAACAUGUGGUUUAAUUCGAUGAUACGCGAGGAACCUUACCUGGGCUUAAAUGUAGCGUGACCGUACUCGAAAGAGUAUUUCUCUUCGGAGCAGGUUACAAGGUGCUGCAUGGCUGUCGUCAGCUCGUGCCGUGAGGUGUCGGGUUAAGUCCCAUAACGAGCGCAACCCCUAUCGUUAGUUGCCAUCGGGUCAUGCCGGAAACUCUAGCGAGACUGCCACCGUAAGGUGCGAGGAAGGUGGGGAUGACGUCAAGUCAGCACGGCCCUUAUGUCCAGGGCUACACACGUGUUACAAUGGUCAGUACAAAGGGCAGCUAUCCAGCGAUGGAGUGCUAAUCUCAAAAACUGAUCCCAGUUCGGAUCGG
This 506-nucleotide ribosomal RNA is filed under the name uncultured bacterium. RNAcentral describes it as "bacterial SSU rRNA". It matches the Rfam family "Bacterial small subunit ribosomal RNA", at positions 791 to 1301 of the family's 1533-position model. The record is from RNAcentral.